UACGGAGGGUGCGAGCGUUAAUCGGAAUUACUGGGCGUAAAGCGCGCGUAGGCGGCGGAUUAAGUCGGAUGUGAAAGCCCCGGGCUCAACCUGGGAAUUGCACUCGAUACUGGUCGGCUAGAGUACGAGAGAGGGAGGUAGAAUUCCACGUGUAGCGGUGAAAUGCGUAGAUAUGUGGAGGAAUACCAGUGGCGAAGGCGGCCUCCUGGCUCGAUACUGACGCUGAGGUGCGAAAGCGUGGGGAGCAAACAGG
RNAcentral lists this ribosomal RNA (253 nucleotides) under uncultured bacterium. Its description in RNAcentral is "partial 16S ribosomal RNA". It matches the Rfam family "Bacterial small subunit ribosomal RNA", at positions 524 to 776 of the family's 1533-position model. The record is from RNAcentral.